Molecule: ribosomal RNA, 454 nt
Filed under: uncultured bacterium
Lineage: Bacteria
Description: partial 16S ribosomal RNA
Rfam family: Bacterial small subunit ribosomal RNA
Source: RNAcentral
GAUGAACGCUGACAGAAUGCUUAACACAUGCAAGUCAACUUGAACUUCGGUUUGGGUGGCGGACGGGUGAGUCACGCGUAAAGAACUUGCCUCACAGAUAGGGACAACAUUUGGAAACGAAUGCUAAUACCUGAUAUUAUGAUUAUAUGGCAUCGUAUAAUUAUGAAAGCUAUAUGCGCUGUGAGAGAGCUUUGCGUCCCAUUAGCUAGUUGGAGAGGUAACGGCUCACCAAGGCGAUGAUGGGUAGCCGGCCUGAGAGGGUGAUCGGCCACAAGGGGACUGAGACACGGCCCUUACUCCUACGGGAGGCAACAGUGGGGAAUAUUGGACAAUGGACCAAGAGUCUGAUCCAGCAAUUCUGUGUGCACGAUGAAGUUUUUCGGAAUGUAAAGUGCUUUCAGUUGGGAAGAAAAAAAUGACGGUACCAACAGAAGAAGUGACGGCUAAAUACGUG